Crotalus tigris (Tiger rattlesnake) is the source of this 292-nucleotide long non-coding RNA. RefSeq lists it as uncharacterized. The transcript has 3 exons. The record is from RefSeq and is a predicted model, not a curated record. NCBI's taxonomy places the organism in Eukaryota, Metazoa, Chordata, Lepidosauria, Squamata, Viperidae.
GACAGCCAUUUGUCUGAAAUCGUAUAGGGUUUCCUGCCUGAGCAGGGGGUUGGACUAGAUGACCUCCAAGGUCCCUUCCAACUUUAUUAUUAUUAUUACCAUCAUCAUCAUCAUCAAUCAUUAUUAUAUAAGGGCUAUUGCUAAUGCUAGGUGGGUGAUUCCCCUCAGGAAAGCAAACAAGAACCCCUAUUUUUUGAGACCUGUCGUACACUUUCCCCCAAAAGGUUUCCACAAUUUUGGCCACUACUGUACAUUUGUCCGAAAUGGUAUAGGGCAGUGUUUCUCAACCUUG